Molecule: unclassified non-coding RNA, 3614 nt
Filed under: Leishmania donovani
Lineage: Eukaryota; Euglenozoa; Kinetoplastea; Trypanosomatida; Trypanosomatidae
Description: gene:LdHU3.26.1160(CDS-product:DnaJ_domain/Domain _of_unknown_function_(DUF3395)_putative)
Source: RNAcentral
CACCGUUAUUGUAGGGGGACGACAUAUACACAUGGACGACGAGGACACGAUUCGCGCGGCCAAGUUGCUGCGCGACGAUGAUGGGACCGACGGCAGUGGCUUAGACAGCGUCCCUGCAACGACAGCAGACCCGUCCGGAUACUACGCCCGCCUCGGCGUUUCUCCAAAGGCGACGCAGCAGGAUAUACGCCGUGCGUUUCUGUUCCUCAGUCAGCGUUAUCAUACGGACAAGCACGCGAGUCAAUGCGACACGGUGCAGAACUUGAUGAACGAGCGCUUCCAGGAGCUGCAGGAUGCCUACGUAGUGCUGUCCGACGAGCGGCAGCGCGCUGCGUAUGACGCAGGCGGUGACAAGGGGAUCCAGCGGUUGGCCCUCGUCCCAGCCGGACUUUACCGGCGCGAGGACAUCUUGAACUACAUCUUGUCUCUCGACAGAGAAGCGCAGCUGCUGCGCACCGCACAGAUGCUCUCGGCGACCUCGCAGACAACGGUGAGCUUCUCCACCGCCCACUUGUUCAGCUUCCCAGGGCCGAGUGAGGGCAUUGGCAGCAGCAGCAGCAGCAGCGGCGUCGAGGACGGCGACGACGCUGAGUCGAGCACCCACGGAGGCAGAGACAGUUCCGAAGACGAAAAGCCACCGUCUGAGCAGCCUCAGCCCGCCCCAUCAUCGCUCCACGAGCAGCAGACGGCGACGCGACCCAUGACCGCGUCCGCCACCACUUCCUUCCCUGUUGGCGACACCUCCACAACAGCUCCGUCAACACCCGCUCCUGCAGCAGCGCCACUGCAGAGCGCGACACCGCCGGCGAAUACCACAGCGGCCAGAGUGGUUGAGAAAGGCGCUCCCCCUGCCUCGGCUGCUGCGGUGCAGGCACAACUCACGGCCAAGGAGGUCGUCAUCGAUGGCCAGCGUCACAUUGUGCUAAUCCCGAACCAGGAGGUGCAGCAGCAACUCAGACAGCGGAUGCGAGGGCUGGCCGCCGGGGAGGCGUCUGCACCGUCCCUCUCCGGCAGCAGCGGUGGUGCCUUGCCUCGAGCGGCGCCGCGGCUGCACCGCAUGCCCGUGCCGCAAGCGCUCAUGUUUGCCGUCGUGCCCAAGUCCAUGACGUUCCGAAGCUCCUUCCAGCAUCUCGUCGCGCCGCGGCUCUCCCUCACCUUCCGCACGGACAGCACCUCACGGAUGCAGAAGACGACCACAAGCCUCACCACCGCGGCAGAGUACCGCCCCGACGACGUGCGUACGUAUGAAACGUCGCUGCGCAUGGCCGUGAAUGGGCUGAAGUGGUGCGUCAUGCAGGCGCGUGCCCUGAACCCGCUGUGGACGCUCAAGGCGAAGCUCACUGUAUUGACGAACUCGGCGCUACUGCAGAAGCUGGAGCUCACCCUAACGCGCAAGAUGUCGGCGACGGCGGAGCUGGAGAAUGUGCUGGCCAUGUCGCUCACUGAGCACGGCUACUUCCGUUCCAGCUUCAACGAUUUUACGGAGGAUGUGCAGCAGGGCCUCAGCACCUACAUGGCGUUCCACAACAUGUACGUCACCGCCUUCACCGGCAAGAAGUUCGUGCUGGGCGUGGACACGAAGGACCCCAAGCACCCGCCUGUGUACGGCCGGAUGCAGUACUCGGUGAACUGCUCACCGCUCGCUGGGCAGUCGACCUUUGGCAUUGAGGCCUGGUACUUACCCUCAAAGACGCAGCGGUACGGCCUGGCCUUCACGGCAGUCGUGCCCUAUGCCGUCAGUCCCAUCGCACCGCCCUUCUUCAUUGUGCGAAGUGCGCAGUUCGCCGUUGUGAAUCAGGUAUCCAUCCUGUACGCCCGCGGCCGCCACCGCAUCUCCGUCCCCAUCAUCGUCUUUAUUUCGCCCAAGGUGAGCCACGCGCUCAUGUGGUUGUCCGCGCCACUGACGCUGUACCGCAUCGGAUCAAUGCUCUACCGGCCCUACGCCCGCGCCAAGGCGAUCCGGUACUACACCGAGCAGCGUGAACUGCACAUUGCGGAGAUGGACGUGGCGCGAGAGAGGGCUCGUAUGGAGCAGCUCGCCCUCGAAAGCCUGGUGCUGAUGAGCCGCGCGAAGGAGGAGCGGAAGGGUGGCCUUGUUAUUAUCAACGCUCGCUACGGUGUGAUUGAGCCUCAGUUCGCCGAGAUCGUGCCCCCGGUGUCACCGGGGGUGAACCGCUCGCCGUCCGGGUGGUGGCCGUCGCAGAUUAUGGCUCGUGUGGUGAAGCGCCUCGUCCGAGGGUGGAUGCGGCGCCGCGGCACCGCUAAGGCUUCGUUGGAGGCCGAGGCGGACACGGAGGCGCGGCACAGCUCAAUGCGCAGUGACGCCAUUCCGCUGUCCAUCGACGUCACUAUCGCGAUGCAGAACCUGGUGCGUGACUCGGCGCUGACGCUGCCCGCAGGCACGAAGAGCUCACUGGUCGGUUUCUGCAACCCUGAUCCGUACACGCCAGAGCUCCAGAAUCUAAAGAUUGUGUACUGGUUUCGCAAGCGCAAGCACAUGGCGGUAUUCAAGGAUGACGAGGAAGUAGAGCUGCCGCAGCGAGAGCACCUAAUCAAGCCUUGAGUGUCUCCCUCCUUCCCUUCCUAUCCCUCUGUGUCUCCCUGCGUAUCUAAGCGUGUGUAUGUGUUUGACCGAGAAAGUCGCCAAGGAAGACGAGGACCAUGUGCGAGGCAAAAAAAAACAAUCUCUCUGGAGAGCAGGUCCUUGAGCCCGGCACACGUGAAGCUCCAGCGCGCGCCUCGCCCUGGGCGAUAGGAGCGCUGCCAGGUGUGCAAUGGCAGACCUCCAUGCCGCCGCCCCCCUUCCCCUUUCCUCUCCCACGGCUUUCCCAUCGGGCACCUGCGGCGAAGGUUAUCGGUGCUGCCGCAAAUCCUCUACACGUAGCCGCCGCUUGCUUUGUUGAGGGUGCGUGUAUGUGGCUUGCCCACCCACGUGUGCGCGUAUGCCGUUCGCCGGCGGCAUAUCACGUCCUGCGUGUGGGUGGUUGUCUGACAUGGGCGAAUAGGAACAAGAAGGGCGAGAGGCUCGGCUGAUGCCGCACAUGCUCGCGGUUCCAUGGACGGGUGCCAAGACCAACGUGGCGCGGCUCGCAGCGGAACACGCCGAUGUGUGUGUGUGUGUGUUGGCGUGCUUGCUGCGUUUCGCACCUCUUCACUGGCGCGAGUAGUUGCGUCGAGGGCAUCAGGCACGCGCGGCCGUUGAAGGCUCAGAGGCGGGGUAGGGUGGUGGGGGGGGGGAAGGUGAGCCGGGCGAGAGCCGCCGCUCCCUCUCCCUCCCUCGAGAAGAAACGGCACACGCAUGUGUGUGCGUGUGCUUGAGUUUGUUGCACGGUGAUGUGAGUGGCAAUGACACCACGGUGCACUCUGACAUGUUCCACCGCAUACGGUGCACCUCUUCGCUCUCGCAGAUCCAGAGAACCCUUUGCUACGUCGUGUGCCUCUUCUGGCACGCCGUCUUCUCCCUUUCGCUCGCUUGCCGCACCUCCCCCUCCCUUCCCUCGCUGACGCAUGUGGUGCAUGCCGCCCCGCUCACCCACUCUGCUUCUCAUAUACUCCCUCUCCUACGCGCCUUCACUCUCAACCUCAUCUUCCCCCUCCUCCCCUCUUUCACACAG